AAAGGUAAGCUACUAAGAGCAAAUGGUGGAUGCCUUGGCUAGUAGAGGCGAUGAAAGACGUGCCAGGCUGCGAUAAGUCUCGGGGAGCCGUCAAGGGGCUUUGAUCCGGGAAUUUCUGAAUGGGGCAACCCAGUAUAUAGUGAUAUAUACUACCGCAAUGCGGAGCUAACGUUGGGAAUUGAAACAUCUUAGUACCAACAGGAAAAGAAAUCAAAAGAGAUUACGCUAGUAGCGGCGAGCGAACGCGUAAGAGGGCAAACCGUUAGUUUACUAACGGGGUUGUAGGACUGCAACAUAGACUUAAACAAACUAAUAGAAUAACCUGGAAAGGUUGGCCAUAGAGGGUGAUAGCCCCGUAUAUGAAAGUGCGUUUAUACUUAGCAGUAUCCUGAGUAGGGCGGGACACGUGAAAUCCUGUCUGAAGCUGGGGAGACCACUCUCCAACCCUAAAUACUACUACUAGACCGAUAGUGCACAAGUACCGUGAGGGAAAGGUGAAAAGAACUGAGGUGAUCAGAGUGAAAUAGAACCUGAAACCAUUUGCUUACAAUCAUUCAGAGCACGAUUCUUUAUGACGUGUGAUGGACUGCCUUUUGCAUAAUGAGCCUGCGAGUUGUGGUGUCUGGCGAGGUUAAGGAAACCCGGAGCCGUAGCGAAAGCGAGUCUUAAUAGGGCGUAUAGUCAGAUGCUGCAGACCCGAAACGAUGUGAUCUAUCCAUGAGCAGGUUGAAACUGGUGUAAGAGCCAGCGGAGGACCGAACAGACGGCCGUUGAAAAGGCUCCUGAUGACUUGUGGAUAGGGGUGAAAGGCCAAUCAAACAUCGUGAUAGCUGGUUCU
RNAcentral lists this ribosomal RNA (838 nucleotides) under Campylobacter fetus subsp. testudinum. Its description in RNAcentral is "bacterial LSU rRNA". It matches the Rfam family "Bacterial large subunit ribosomal RNA", at positions 1 to 856 of the family's 2925-position model. Lineage: Bacteria; Pseudomonadati; Campylobacterota; Epsilonproteobacteria; Campylobacterales; Campylobacteraceae. The record is from RNAcentral.